Molecule: long non-coding RNA, 2471 nt
Organism: Astatotilapia calliptera (eastern happy)
Lineage: Eukaryota; Metazoa; Chordata; Actinopteri; Cichliformes; Cichlidae
Source: Ensembl
UUUUAAGAUUAGGCUUAAAACUUUCCUUUUUGCUAAAGCAUAUAGUUAGGACAGGAUCAGGUGACCCUGAAUCCUCCCUUAGUUAUGCUGCAAUAGGUGUGAGCUGCAGGGGAUUCCCAUGAUGCAUUGAGUAUUUCCUUUUCAGUCACCUUUCUCAUUCACUAUGUGUUCAUAGGCCUCUCUGCACUGAAUCAUGCUUGUUAUUAAUCUCUGGCUCUCUUCCAAAGAGCCUUUUAUCCUGUCUUUCUUCUCUCACCCCAACCGACCCCGGCAGAUGGCCCCGCCCCUCCCUGAGCCUGGUUCUGCUGGAGGUUUCUUCCUGUUAAAAGGGAGUUUUUCCUUCCCACUGUCGCCAAAGUCCUUGCUCAUAGGGGGUCAUAUGAUUGUUGGGUUUUUCUCUGUAUGUAUUAUUGAAGGGUCUACCUUACAAUAUAUAGCACCUUGAGGUGACUUUGAAGCUGUAUAAAUAAAAAUGAAUUAAAAACUUUCCUGUUCUUAGCUAAACGGAACACUGAGGUUACAUCUGUGUGGGGAAAAAAGAAAAAAAAAAAAAUCACAGUAAAUCAGCAGUUUCUGAAAUACUCUGGCACCGACAUCCAUACCAUGUUGAAAGGCACUUAAAUCACUCUCUCCCCCUUUUUUUUUUAACCAUUUCAAUGCUCAUCUUGAACUUCAUCAGGUCAUCUUCACCAUGUCUACAGUCUUAAAUGUAUCAAGUUGUGACUGACUGAUUAGAUAUUUGCAUUGAAUUUUUUUUUUUUUUUUUUUCCUCAGAGCAGUGAGCGGCAGAAAAGAACUGCAGAAACUUGAACUGCUGUCAUCUCAGAAACAGACAUUUAGAUAUUUGGGUUUUCUUGCUGCAACACUGUAUCUGAGUAUUUAAUGAAGAUUCCUUCCGUUUUGAACUAAAUAUAAGGAAAUAAAUAAAUGCCCUCCUGUCUUGAUACCUUGACUACUUCUGCCUUAUUCUAAGAAUGUGUUGUGCUGCAUUCAUUUGACUUGAAAUUUCUAUAAUAACAAAACAUACUGAAAAGAGAUCACGGUGUGAAUAAGCCAUUUAGAAGCAGUCGCUAGUUAUCCAUUCAUCACCGUGGCCGAUUGCCAAAAGGCACUUUUAGACUUCUGUUUUAUUGAUUUUUUUUUUAAGACAUUUUGUGACCACAGUAACACUAAAGGAGAUUGAUGUGUAACACCGCACAGUAAAAGGGUGCUGUUCUUCGAGUGCAAAUGGAGCUAAAGCUUUCACAGUUUCUCAAAAUGACCAACGGUGGAACGAGUUGGAGGCGGAAGUCAAAUCAUUGGCUUCCAGCAAGUGCAUUUAUGCUCUGUACAGGGAGAAUAGCUACAACUAAUCAGGAAUGUUGACACUCGAGAGGUAGAGUCAGGAUUUAUGGCAGCUGUGGUAGUAAUUAAUUUCAAUGUUAUUUUUUGACAGGAAAUAGUGUCAUUACAACAGUAUGUGUUCCAAUAGCUACAGAGAUUUUUUAUUAUAACGGUACAGAAUAUCAAUUAUUUAUACCUCAUAUUUAUGCAGCACAUGUGGGUGUUUUGUGUGUUUUUCUCUUUUAUGGUGACACUGACCUUAUGACCAUCCCACAGGGAUAACAGCCAAGGAUUGAAGGGAGCGAUAUGUGACAUAACAGGAAAACGUUCCUCCCUUGUGAAUUUUUUCUCUCGUUUCUCUGUAUGAGUUUUUAGGAUAGCGCCUUUUGUUCACACAAGUUCUGAAACAGUCUUUGUUCUACCUGUUCCCUUAUUUGUAAACAAAUCUGCGACCCUGAUGAACUCGUCCUCUUUUUUUUUUUUCCUUUGUUCGGUUCACAAAUAUAAGAAUUUGACAUGAUUUUUUUCUUCAUUCUUUUUUACCAUUGCUUUGUAUUAAGGAAUGAAUUGAAUCGUUUCUAUUUUUACGACCCUGGUUUUCAUGUCAACGAUUAUUAAGCUCUGUGCUGUUUUUUUUUUUCCAUUCUUGCUUUUUAAGUUGUCAAGGAAAAGUGAGUAGGGGGCAACCAUGCUCUCCUGCAUAAUGUGACGGGCAUAAAGUGACAAACGCACACAAAUCGCAUCCCUUUAUGCUGGUAAGGCAACUGCCUUAGCGUCUACACGUCCAACAAUUAAUUUUCUUAUUACAAAAAAAAAAAAAAAUGAUGAAAUCCACUAGAUGCCAAUGAUGACAAAACCAAUCAAUAAUACCCAUUUACUGGACAAUCCAUUCCAAUCAUGUACCUGUUUGGCAAAGACCUUUCAAAUAUGUUUUUUUGCUAAAGCAAACCUAAAAUAACAGCUGAAAAAAGGCACACAGUACGAAAUGAAACAACACUGCUCCACUUAAGACCGUGUCGUCAGUCUAAGCUAUCAAUGAGGCAUUUCGACUGCAAGUAUAGGAAGAAAGGAAGUGGGUAGCAAGCAGUGUUGGGCAAGUUACUUUGAAAAGGUAAUUAAUUAUAGUUACUAGUUACUUCUUCAAAAAA